Molecule: ribosomal RNA, 858 nt
Filed under: uncultured bacterium
Lineage: Bacteria
Description: bacterial SSU rRNA
Rfam family: Bacterial small subunit ribosomal RNA
Source: RNAcentral
UGGGAACUACCUUAUUCUACGGAAUAACACAGAGAAAUUUGUGCUAAUACCUUAUAAUGACUCCGGUCCAAAGAUUUAUCGCCGAAGAUGAGCCCGCGCUAGAUUAGUUUGUUGGUGAGGUAAAAGCUCACCAAGACUACGAUCUAUAGCUGGUCUUAGAGGAUGAUCAGCCACACUGGUACUGAGACACGGACCAGACUCCUACGGGAGGCAGCAGUGAGGAAUAUUGCGCAAUGGGGGAAACCCUGACGCAGCCAUGCCGCGUGAAUGACGAAGGCCCUAGGGUUGUAAAGUUCUUUCAGAUGCGAAGAUAAUGACGGUAACAUCAGAAGAAGCUCCGGCUAAAUUCGUGCCAGCAGCCGCGGUAAUACGAAUGGAGCGAGCGUUGUUCGGAAUCAUUGGGCGUAAAGCGUAUGUAGGCGGACAUGAAAGUCAGAAGUGAAAUCCCGAGGCUCAACCUCGGAAUUGCUUUUGAAACUCCAUGUCUUGAAUCCCGGAGGUAGACGGAAUUCCGAGUGUAGAGGUGAAAUUCGCAGAUAUUCGGAGGAACACCAGAGGCGUAGCGGUCUACUGGACGGGUAUUGACGCUGAGAUACGAAAGCGUGGGGAGCAAACAGGAUUAGAUACCCUGGUAGUCCACGCCGUAAACGAUGUGUGCUAGUUGUCGGGCUCUAAGAGUUCGGUGACGCCGCUAACGCAUUAAGCACACCGCCUGGGGAGUACGGCCGCAAGUUAAAACUCAAGGAAUUGACGGGGACCCGCACAAGCGUGGAGCAUGUUCUUUAAUUCGAAGCAACGCGAAGAACCUUACCUACACUUGACAUCCCUCUUGGGACUUUCAGAGAUGAUUGUCUUCGG